UGCAACUCUGUUAGCCUAAUAUAUUUUGCAUUUUUCUCCCUUUACUUCUCUCAAGUUUCCAUCCUAAUACGAGGUAGUCCUCUUGUCAAUCAUGGAUUUGUCGAAAAUUGUUUUAGCUUCAUCUGAAAAUAAGGAAGAAAUCAGAGAUCGCAUCAGCAAAUUGUCAGAUGAGAUUCUUGAAAUAGUGCAAAAACAUUUGAAAACAAAAGAUGCCGUUGCAACAAGUUUAUUAUCUCACAGAUGGAAACCAGUAUGCCUCUCUGCUUCCAUUCUCACUUUGGAUAUAUCUAACAUGUUCGAGUUCUGUAAAACUAUUCAACUCCCUUGUAAUAGCUACAAGUAGAGAUUUGUUAGAGCAGUUAAUCAGUUCUUACAAUCUUAUAUGGGCAUCCAAGUACGCAUGUUCGCUGUUCGUUGCUGUCUUAGGUGUAAUUACACGGAUGAUAUUGAUCAGUGGAUGGAAUUUGCCUUUGUGAAGGGCGUUAAUUGUUUAGCUCGUCUUCAAUUGUAACAAAAGCUGUUGUAACCAAAUUCCUAUAAUCAGCUAUCGUGAUCAACAAAUUGAAGGCAAGUAUGUCUUGCGAACUAAGAUUUUCCAAGGUAAAACAAUCAAUUUAGAGCAGCUGAAGUUGAAUGGUUGCAUUUUGGGACCAAAUUUCACUCACCAUUUCAGCUGCUUAAAGGAAUUGUCCUUGUCCUAUUCGCCUUUAUCUUCAUAUGACCUGCAUAUUUUGUUUUCCUGUCUGGUGAAACUCCAAGUUUUGAAAUUUACAUAUUGUGUCUUGGCUCAUUACCUCUACUGAGGCAUUUCACAGUUCUUCUCUCUACUGGACUAGAGGAAAUUAAGCUAUCAAACGUGAAGCUCCAAUGCUUUGAAUGUCUUCGUCUUGACCUGAUGGUUGUUAAAUGUAUUUAAGUGGAGCUCCUUGAACUGGUUCCUUGAAUGUCUUCGUCUUGAUCUUUUGCCUUUUAAUUUUGGCUUCUUGACAGCAAUUGAAUGGGUUUUGGUCUGCAGGUCGAGUGGACACUUUUGCAUAGCCACUUUCAGCCAGGUUAGGAAGCUGACACUAGAUUUUGCAGGGCUCGUAAAUUUUCUCGAAGAUUAUUUCUAUCCUUAAGAGCAUUUCCCAGUCUUCGUGUUUUUCAUCUAUGGAUAUGUUGUUUUAUUUCUCUUUUUCUCUCAAUCAACUUUGCAGAGAUUAUCAGUAGUUACUUAUAUAAUUCAUAUAUUGUAAUACAUGAUAACUUAGCCUGCGAUUUGUGAUUGCAGACAUCAUGUGAAUAUGACAUUAAAAGUCGAAUAUUGUUCUUUUUUAUCUUUUAACAAUAUUAAAAUAAAUAAUUUAUAUUU
Non-coding RNA from Jatropha curcas, 1351 nucleotides. NCBI's taxonomy places the organism in Eukaryota, Viridiplantae, Streptophyta, Magnoliopsida, Malpighiales, Euphorbiaceae. The record is from RefSeq and is a predicted model, not a curated record.